RNAcentral lists this microRNA (21 nucleotides) under Mus musculus (house mouse). RNAcentral describes it as "mmu-miR-6917-5p". Lineage: Eukaryota; Metazoa; Chordata; Mammalia; Rodentia; Muridae. The record is from miRBase by way of RNAcentral.
UGUGGAAGGGGAGUUGUGCCG